This is a long non-coding RNA of Pollicipes pollicipes, 234 nucleotides long. RefSeq lists it as uncharacterized. The transcript is spliced from 3 exons. Lineage: Eukaryota; Metazoa; Arthropoda; Thecostraca; Pollicipedomorpha; Pollicipedidae. The record is from RefSeq and is a predicted model, not a curated record.
CUGGCCACCUACAACGUCACCGUCAGCCAGCUGAAGGUGCUGGUGGGCAGCAUGAAGGCCGGCACGGGCGCCUGGCCGCGCCACUCCAGCAAGCUGCUGACGGUACUGCGCCAGAUGCCGCAGCGCAGCAGCCCGGACACCUUCUUCAUGUUCCCCGGCAAAACUAACUCGGCGAUCGUGAUCCCGCCGCUGGCGCGGUGGCCGUACGAAAGCGGCUGGACGUUCGCCUGCUGG